This 97-nucleotide small nuclear RNA is filed under the name Jaculus jaculus (lesser Egyptian jerboa). The record is from RNAcentral. Lineage: Eukaryota; Metazoa; Chordata; Mammalia; Rodentia; Dipodidae.
GUGCUAGCUUUGGCAGCACAUAUGCUAAAAUAUAUAGAGAUUAGCAUGGCCCCUGUGCAAGGAUGACAUGCAAAUCCGUGAAGCAUUUCAUAUUAAA